CAACUUUCAACAAUGGAUCUCUUGGCUCUCGCAUCGAUGAAGAACGCAGCGA
RNAcentral lists this ribosomal RNA (52 nucleotides) under Amanita sp. 'cochiseana'. RNAcentral describes it as "partial 5.8S ribosomal RNA". It matches the Rfam family "5.8S ribosomal RNA", at positions 1 to 51 of the family's 154-position model. Rfam says of the family: 5.8S ribosomal RNA (5.8S rRNA) is a component of the large subunit of the eukaryotic ribosome. It is transcribed by RNA polymerase I as part of the 45S precursor that also contains 18S and 28S rRNA. The record is from RNAcentral. Lineage: Eukaryota; Fungi; Basidiomycota; Agaricomycetes; Agaricales; Amanitaceae.